UACGUAGGGUGCGAGCGUUGUCCGGAAUUAUUGGGCGUAAAGAGCUUGUAGGCGGUUUGUCGCGUCUGCUGUGAAAAUCCGGGGCUCAACCCCGGACUUGCAGUGGGUACGGGCAGACUAGAGUGUGGUAGGGGAGACUGGAAUUCCUGGUGUAGCGGUGAAAUGCGCAGAUAUCAGGAGGAACACCAAUGGCGAAGGCAGGUCUCUGGGCAGUUACUGACGCUGAGGAGCGAAAGCAUGGGUAGCGAACAGGAUUAGAUA
RNAcentral lists this ribosomal RNA (261 nucleotides) under uncultured prokaryote. RNAcentral describes it as "partial 16S ribosomal RNA". It matches the Rfam family "Bacterial small subunit ribosomal RNA", at positions 524 to 784 of the family's 1533-position model. The record is from RNAcentral.